This is an RNA transcript of Mus musculus (house mouse), 2128 nucleotides long. It is a transcript of the gene named cyclin dependent kinase 20, with no coding region annotated. The transcript is spliced from 8 exons. The record is from RefSeq and is marked provisional. NCBI's taxonomy places the organism in Eukaryota, Metazoa, Chordata, Mammalia, Rodentia, Muridae.
ACAUGCGUAGCCCUGCCCCUCUCAGCCCCACGCACCAGCGUUUCUUGUCACGUGGUGCUAUGGCCACGUCCUGGAGCGUUAGAUUACGAUAGAGUGACUGCCGAAGGCUGCGGAAAGGUGCUGCCUAGAGGGGAUGCAGAUUCCUGACUGAGCUCAGCACUGGUCUUUCCGGUCACGUGCUUUACGGAGCAGCUGCUAGACGCGUUAUUGCUAGGCAACGCUUGCAGGAGCCUAUGCUGGAUCCCUGUAGAGUAGGAUCUGGGCACCGCGGGCCGACAUGGACCAGUAUUGCAUCCUCGGUCGCAUCGGGGAGGGCGCCCACGGCAUCGUCUUCAAAGCCAAGCACGUAGAGACUGGCGAGAUCGUUGCCCUCAAGAAGGUGGCCUUGCGGCGGCUGGAGGAUGGUAUUCCUAACCAGGCCCUCAGAGAAAUCAAGGCUCUGCAGGAGAUAGAGGACAGUCAAUAUGUGGUGCAGCUGAAGGCUGUGUUCCCACAUGGUGCGGGCUUUGUGCUGGCUUUCGAAUUUAUGCUGUCGGACCUGGCAGAGGUGGUGCGCCAUGCCCAGAGGCCCCUGGCCCCAGCACAAGUCAAGAGCUACCUGCAGAUGCUGCUCAAAGGUGUUGCGUUUUGCCAUGCCAACAACAUUGUGCAUCGGGACCUGAAGCCUGCUAACCUGCUCAUCAGUGCCUCAGGCCAGCUCAAGAUAGCUGACUUUGGCCUGGCCCGGGUCUUCUCUCCGGAUGGUGGUCGCCUCUACACACAUCAGGUGGCCACCAGGUAGUGGGGCUCUAUCCCUGCCAGCCCUCUCACUGGGGAAGAGAUACGUCUGCACCUUCUGUCCAGGUGGUACCGAGCUCCUGAACUCCUGUAUGGCGCUCGGCAGUAUGACCAGGGCGUUGACCUAUGGGCUGUGGGCUGCAUCAUGGGAGAGCUGUUGAAUGGGUCCCCCCUGUUCCCGGGCGAAAACGACAUUGAACAACUGUGCUGUGUGCUUCGCAUCCUGGGUACCCCGAGUCCUCGAGUCUGGCCGGAGAUCACAGAGCUGCCUGACUACAACAAGAUCUCCUUCAAGGAGCAGGCACCAGUGCCCCUGGAGGAGGUGCUGCCUGAUGCCUCUCCCCAGGCCUUGGACCUGCUGGGCCAGUUCCUCCUCUACCCUCCACGACAGCGUAUUGCAGCCUCCCAGGCCCUUCUGCAUCAGUACUUCUUCACAGCGCCUCUGCCUGCCCAUCCAUCCGAGCUGCCAAUUCCUCAGCGCCCAGGGGGACCUGCACCCAAGGCUCACCCAGGGCCCCCCCAUGUCCACGACUUCCAUGUGGAUCGACCUCUUGAGGAGUCACUGUUGAACCCAGAACUGAUUCGGCCCUUCAUCCCAGAGGGGUGAGAUGCUGGUCCAGGCCUUCCUGCUCGCCCUAGGAGCACCUCUUUCUGAUUUGCCUCCAUGGCCUCCCCACGGCUAUAUAUACCACACCUGGUCCUGCUCCUUAGUGUGCUUGAGGGCUGGGCUCUGGGAGGCAGAACCGUGAGAUGUUCAUCCCAGCAGAGAAAGAGACUCACGUCCUACAGACAAAGCCUCCAGAAACUGCUAGCUGUGUCCUUCUCCAGGGCCACCCCUCAGUGGUGCCACCCGGCCUUAGAGAUGAUUGUCAGGCUCUGUCCCCUCUUCAAGGACAUUGGUACUACAGCACCACCUGGUGGAAGCACAGAGUAUAAGCUGUCUUCAUACCGGGGACACAGCUGGGAAGUCAGACAUGUUUUAGUUUUGGUUCCACUGGGUCAGGAUUUGAGGUUCAUAUAAAAGCCCUGGGUGUUUCUGUCUAAUUGCACCUUGUCUGUUGCUGUUAGGGAAAGGACAAUGGUGGGCCUUGAUUCACAGGGGUCAGGUACUCAGAAGAGGCCUCCUGUGAAGGCCAUUUGGGUCCUCAGGCUUCCCAUGCUAUUCACGGGACUUGAGUGCUCAUUUGGGAGCGAGAGUCCAGAAGCUGAGGCCCAGGGAUGGACAGUCCAGUUCCCGAAGCACACUUCCCACAUGUCGGGUGGGUCAGUCAGUGAGCCUGAGGCUGCCUUGCAGAUGCGGAAGCAGACAUUCCUGGAAUCCACUCAGUAAAUAAAUUCCAGUGUGACUCAG